CAAUAGCGUAUAUUAAAGUUGUUGCAGUUAAUAAGCUCGUAGUUGGAUUUGUGGUGUACUUCGGCGGCCCGUCACUAUGUGAUGGAGCUUGCUGAAGUCGCCAUCCUUGGGUGGAUCCUGUGUGGCAUUAAGUUGUCGUGCAGGGGAUGCCCAUCGUUUACUGUGAAAAAAUUAGAGUGUUCAAAGCAGGCUUAUGCCGUUGAAUAUAUUAGCAUGGAAUAAUAAGAUAGGACCUUGGUACUAUUUUGUUGGUUUGCGCACCAAGGUAAUGAUUAAUAGGGACAGUUGGGGGUAUUCGUAUUUCAUUGUCAGAGGUGAAAUUCUUGGAUUUUUGAAAGACGAACUACUGCGAAAGCAUUUACCAAGGAUGUUUNCAUUA
RNAcentral lists this ribosomal RNA (379 nucleotides) under uncultured eukaryote. RNAcentral's name for it is "partial 18S ribosomal RNA". It matches the Rfam family "Eukaryotic small subunit ribosomal RNA", at positions 592 to 975 of the family's 1831-position model. The record is from RNAcentral.